RNAcentral lists this non-coding RNA (24 nucleotides) under Rattus norvegicus (Norway rat). Lineage: Eukaryota; Metazoa; Chordata; Mammalia; Rodentia; Muridae. The record is from RNAcentral.
UUCUGCCGGGUCUGUGGAGCUCCA